GCACCAGACACAGUGCCUCAGGGCUUGCAAAGUGAUGUAUUAAGAUCUCUAUCUCUUUUGUUAAGAAGUUCAAAAUAACCAGAAUUAUGAAGGAAACACGAGAACUGGAACAAUAAAAAACUUUCGUUGGAGUGCAGAACAUAGUGAUAACCAUGAAGAAAAAAGGACAAUCAUGCUAGGAAUUCAACAGAAUUUCAAAGAUUGAAAUAUUUCCCAUAAAAAUCAGGAAUAAAAGUAUCCUGUGAGGCACAUAAACAGUAUGUACCAUACCUUCCCGCCAAAGCCUGCCCUCUCACUCUGUGCAUGGUGCAGUGUGUAUUUAACAUGCAUUAUGUCACUCAGAUGAGCUUUUCUGGCACAGGGCCUGCCUACCAGCACAGUCUCCACUACCACUGGCCCAACAAAGAAAUAUAGACUAGGUAAGUAAUUAAAAAACAAUCCAGACGUUAACUUAUUUGCCUGUCUUCCAAAGCUGACAAAAAGGAGAGCUUCCUUUGACAGCUUCUUUCACCUGACUACUAUGUCACAUAGGAGGGAGCUAAGUUUUAUUUUCUAUGGCACUAAAGAUUGCUCUCCUGAAGUAAUCCUUUUGCAAACUGC
This is a long non-coding RNA of Panthera uncia (snow leopard), 600 nucleotides long. RefSeq lists it as uncharacterized. The transcript is spliced from 3 exons. The record is from RefSeq and is a predicted model, not a curated record. NCBI's taxonomy places the organism in Eukaryota, Metazoa, Chordata, Mammalia, Carnivora, Felidae.